This 457-nucleotide ribosomal RNA is filed under the name Capnocytophaga granulosa. Its description in RNAcentral is "bacterial SSU rRNA". It matches the Rfam family "Bacterial small subunit ribosomal RNA", at positions 28 to 488 of the family's 1533-position model. Lineage: Bacteria; Pseudomonadati; Bacteroidota; Flavobacteriia; Flavobacteriales; Flavobacteriaceae. The record is from RNAcentral.
GAUGAACGCUAGCGGCAGGCCUAACACAUGCAAGUCGAGGGAGAAGCCCUUCGGGGCAGAAACCGGCGCACGGGUGCGUAACGCGUAUGCAACCUACCUUUCACAGGGGGAUAGCCCGAAGAAAUUUGGAUUAAUACCCCAUAAUAUUAUUGGAUGGCAUCAUUUGAUAAUUAAAAUUACGAUGGUGAAAGAUGGGCAUGCGUCCUAUUAGCUAGUUGGAGUGGUAACGGCACCCCAAGGCUACGAUAGGUAGGGGUCCUGAGAGGGAGAUCCCCCACACUGGUACUGAGACAGGGACCAGACUCCUACGGGAGGCAGCAGUGAGGAAUAUUGGUCAAUGGUCGGAAGACUGAACCAGCCAUGCCGCGUGCAGGAAGAAUGCCUUAUGGGUUGUAAACUGCUUUUAUAUGGGAAGAAUAAGGAGUACGUGUACUUUGAUGACGGUACCAUAUGAUAG